Molecule: transfer RNA, 116 nt
Filed under: Promethearchaeota archaeon
Lineage: Archaea; Promethearchaeati; Promethearchaeota
Description: Candidatus Lokiarchaeota archaeon (microbial mat metagenome) tRNA-Leu
Rfam family: tRNA
About the family: Transfer RNA (tRNA) molecules are approximately 80 nucleotides in length. Their secondary structure includes four short double-helical elements and three loops (D, anti-codon, and T loops). Further hydrogen bonds mediate the characteristic L-shaped molecular structure. tRNAs have two regions of fundamental functional importance: the anti-codon, which is responsible for specific mRNA codon recognition, and the 3' end, to which the tRNAs corresponding amino acid is attached (by aminoacyl-tRNA synthetases). tRNAs cope with the degeneracy of the genetic code in two manners: having more than one tRNA (with a specific anti-codon) for a particular amino acid; and 'wobble' base-pairing, i.e. permitting non-standard base-pairing at the 3rd anti-codon position.
Source: RNAcentral
GGAGGGGUUACCGAGUCUGGUCAAAGGUGCUGGACUUAAGAUCCAGUGGCAUAGGCCACCAGUAAGCAUUUAUGUCUAUUGGCCUAAAUUCGUGGGUUCGAAUCCCAUCCCCUCCA